Molecule: non-coding RNA, 232 nt
Organism: Pelobates cultripes (western spadefoot toad)
Lineage: Eukaryota; Metazoa; Chordata; Amphibia; Anura; Pelobatidae
Source: the annotation of a GenBank genome assembly
GUAAACUUUUGCAGCAAUAAAUAAUUUAGUUAGCUUUUUUUAAUUAAUUUAUUUUUUGGAUUUUUUACAUUUUAAGCACUAAAUUAAAUUUGAACAUAUUAGAACUUUACAUUGUUCUUACUGUCAAGCUCCAUAAUUGCAUUCAUUGUAAACUCCAAAGUCGUUAAAUCUGAAAUCAUUCUGAAUGUAUUUAUGAACUCACUGGUAUAUGUUCACUAAAUCUGUAUAGCAC